Molecule: long non-coding RNA, 513 nt
Organism: Girardinichthys multiradiatus
Lineage: Eukaryota; Metazoa; Chordata; Actinopteri; Cyprinodontiformes; Goodeidae
Exons: 2
Source: RefSeq, a predicted model, not a curated record
CCACCCUCCAAAUAAAGAGUGUAACAUUACAGCAGUCUGCUUGCCAGCCCACAGUGUCCUUCAACAGGCGGUGGCAUGGAGAUCAAAACGGGAAAUAUGAUCCACCGGCAAUGGGAACUGGAUCUCUUCCUCUCCAUCAGUGCCUUCUGCCAUCCUCCCAAGGUGUUGGGAGACAAACCUUGAGAGAAAUGGGAAUCGGUUACAUUCACAAUUCUGUGACUCCCAAGUGCUGUUGUCUUCCAAACAUAAGGCAGGUUCCUGAAGGACAAAAAAUAGAUGUGACCCCUUGCUGCCACUGCCUCACAGUAGCUGACUUAUGAGGCUCCAGAAUUGACUUUAUCAUUCACAGCUGUUGAGAAACAGCAUCAUGAAGAGGUGGAGCAAGCUGACAAAUGCACAUGGUAUUAUUUUACAAUCACAAGAUGACAUAGCAAUGUGUUUGAGCUGUUGGAAUGCUAUACUUAAUUUUACUGUAAUGUAAAAAGUGGCAUUUUAAUAAAGGGUGAAUUCAUA